CUCUCUUCUCCCCUUUGGUUCCAAGGCCCAAAGGCAUUGGACGUCCUCCAUCUCCACACCCAAGAGGAGCUUGGGAACCGUCCUUUUGCUUGCUGAUUUUCAGACCUUGAUUGCUUCAUAAUCAAGAGAAUGAGAGUAAGAGAAGAAGAGAAUAAAAGAUCAAGAAAAAGAUCAAAGAGUUGAUCGCGAUCUAGGCUUCAUUCAGAUUCGUAGGAUGAUUAUUCUUGGAGAAGAAAGAUCAACACCAAAGAGGGCUGUUCCAGACCGAUCCUGAAUGGAUACCCAU
RNAcentral lists this long non-coding RNA (286 nucleotides) under Elaeis guineensis (African oil palm). RNAcentral's name for it is "long non-coding RNA (EGUI_LNC069051)". Lineage: Eukaryota; Viridiplantae; Streptophyta; Magnoliopsida; Arecales; Arecaceae. The record is from RNAcentral.